GACGAACGCUGGCGGCGUGCUUAACACAUGCAAGUCGAACGCUGAAGCUCAGCUUUUGUUGGGUGGAUGAGUGGCGAACGGGUGAGUAACACGUGAGUAACCUGCCUCCUUCUUUGGGAUAACGCCCGGAAACGGGUGCUAAUACUGGAUAUUCACUGGUCUUCGCAUGGGGGUUGGUGGAAAGGGUUUUUCUGGUGGGGGAUGGGCUCGCGGCCUAUCAGCUUGUUGGUGGGGUGAUGGCCUACCAAGGCUUUGACGGGUAGCCGGCCUGAGAGGGUGACCGGUCACAUUGGGACUGGGAUACGGCCCAGACUCCUACGGGAGGCAGCAGUGGGGAAUAUUGCACAAUGGGCGCAAGCCUGAUGCAGCGACGCCGCGUGAGGGAUGGAGGCCUUCGGGUUGUGAACCUCUUUCGCUCAUGGUCAAGCCGCAACAAUGGUUGUGGUGAGGGUAGUGGGUAAAGAAGCGCCGGCUAACUACGUG
This 483-nucleotide ribosomal RNA is filed under the name uncultured bacterium. Its description in RNAcentral is "partial 16S ribosomal RNA". It matches the Rfam family "Bacterial small subunit ribosomal RNA", at positions 28 to 507 of the family's 1533-position model. The record is from RNAcentral.